RNAcentral lists this ribosomal RNA (251 nucleotides) under uncultured prokaryote. RNAcentral describes it as "partial 16S rRNA". It matches the Rfam family "Bacterial small subunit ribosomal RNA", at positions 525 to 775 of the family's 1533-position model. The record is from RNAcentral.
ACGGAGGGUGCAAGCGUUAAUCGGAAUUACUGGGCGUAAAGCGCACGCAGGCGGUUUGUUAAGUCAGAUGUGAAAUCCCCGGGCUCAACCUGGGAACUGCAUCUGAUACUGGCAAGCUUGAGUCUCGUAGAGGGGGGUAGAAUUCCAGGUGUAGCGGCGCAAUGCGUAGAGAUCGGGAGGAAGGCCGGUGGGGAAGGCGGCCCCCUGGACGAAGACUGACGCGUAGGUGCGAAAGCGUGGGGAGCAAACAG